This 471-nucleotide ribosomal RNA is filed under the name uncultured bacterium. RNAcentral describes it as "SSU rRNA". It matches the Rfam family "Bacterial small subunit ribosomal RNA", at positions 26 to 518 of the family's 1533-position model. The record is from RNAcentral.
AGAAUGAACGUUGGCGGCGUGGAUUAGGCAUGCAAGUCGUACGGGCCGCAAGGCCAGUGGCGCAAGGGUGAGUAAGGCGACGGUAACCAACCCCGCGAUUGGGUAUAGCCGCGGGAAACUGCGGGUAAUCCCCAGCGACGUCAUCGAAGGGCAUCCUUUGGUGACCAAAGCUCAGGCGUCGCGGGACGGGCUGUCGUGGUAUUAGCUUGUUGGCGGGGUAACGGCCCACCAAGGCUGUGAUGCCUACCGGGCGUGCGAGCGUGGCCCGGCACACUGGGACUGAGACACUGCCCAGACUCCUACGGGAGGCUGCAGUCGAGAAUCUUCGGCAAUGGGCGCAAGCCUGACCGAGCGACGCCGCGUGGAGGACGAAGGCCUUCGGGUUGUAAACUCCUGUCGAGGGGAAGAAGGGUGUCAAACCCUUGACUGAUCCCUGGAGGAAGCACGGGCUAAGUUCGUGCCAGCAGCCGC